UACAGAGGGGGCAAGCGUUAUUCGGAAUUAUUGGGCGUAAAGGGCGCGUAGGCGGCGAUUCAAGUGACGGGUGAAAUCCCUCGGCUUAACCGAGGAACUGCCUGUCAGACUGGAUUGCUUGAGGCCGGGAGAGGCGAGUGGAAUUCCCAGUGUAGCGGUGGAAUGCGCAGAUAUCAGGAGGAACACCAAUAGCGAAGGCAGCUCGCUGGGACGGUACUGACGCUGAGGCGCGAAAGCGUGGGGAGCAAACGGG
RNAcentral lists this ribosomal RNA (253 nucleotides) under uncultured bacterium. Its description in RNAcentral is "partial 16S ribosomal RNA". It matches the Rfam family "Bacterial small subunit ribosomal RNA", at positions 524 to 776 of the family's 1533-position model. The record is from RNAcentral.